RNAcentral lists this ribosomal RNA (708 nucleotides) under Triticum aestivum (bread wheat). Its description in RNAcentral is "partial small subunit ribosomal RNA". Lineage: Eukaryota; Viridiplantae; Streptophyta; Magnoliopsida; Poales; Poaceae. The record is from RNAcentral.
AUGUCAGGCUCUAAUCAGAUGGCUUCAGAUGGUAAAUUUGGAAAAGGUCCUCGGGAGCUCACUGGGGCUGUUGAUUUAAUUAGCCGCUACAGGCUGCUGAACCAUCACAGUUUCUUUUGUAAGAAACCAUUGCCACUGGCUAUCUCAGAUACACAUUAUCUUCAGAAUGUUGUGGGUGACACUGAAAUCCGUAAAGGAGAAGGGAUGGAGAUAGAUCAACUCAUUCAGAAUCCAGACCCGAGGGAGAAGAAGACUGCUUAUAUUAAACCCUUUGACAUGGAAACACUAGGGCACGCAUUUCAGUUGCGAGAAACAGCGCCAGUAGAUCUGCCUUCGGCUGAAAAAGGUACUCCGACUAUAUCGGGGAAUUCAAAGGUUAAGUCCAGGGACAAAGUCAAGAAGCAUAAAAAGCACAAGGCGAAAGACAAGGACAAGGAACAGAAGAAGCACAAACAUCGCCAUAAGGAUCGGAGUAAAGACAAAGACAAAGAGAAAGAGAAAGAGAAAGAGAAAGAAAAAGAGAAAGAAAAAGAGAAGGAGAAAGACAAAGACAAAGACAAAGAAAAGAAAAAAGAGAAGAGUGUGCAUCAUGAUUUGGGAGGUGAUAAUUCCAAAAAACAUCAUGAGAAGAAGAGGAAACAUGAAGGAAUGGAAAAUUUGGGGGCUGGACGUAACCACAAAAAAACACAAAAGCGCAAAAUUCAAUGA